Molecule: ribosomal RNA, 524 nt
Filed under: uncultured bacterium
Lineage: Bacteria
Description: partial 16S ribosomal RNA
Rfam family: Bacterial small subunit ribosomal RNA
Source: RNAcentral
GACGAACGCUGGCGGCGUGCUUAACACAUGCAAGUCGAACGGACAGACAGAGAGCUUGCUCUCUUGAAGUUAGUGGCGAACGGGUGAGUAACGCGUAAUCAACCUGCCCUUCAGAGGGGGAUAACAACGGGAAACCGUUGCUAAUACCGCGUACGAUUCAUGAACGGCAUCGUUUAUGAAUGAAAGGUGGCCUCUAUGUAUAAGCUAUCGCUGAAGGAGGGGCUUGCGUCUGAUGAGCUAGUUGGUGGGGUAACGGCCAACCAAGGCAAUGAUCAGUAGCCGGUCUGAGAGGAUGAACGGCCACAUUGGGACUGAGACACGGCCCAAACUCCUACGGGAGGCAGCAGUGGGGAAUCUUCCGCAAUGGACGAAAGUCUGACGGAGCAACGCCGCGUGAGUGAUGAAGGUCUUCGGAUUGUAAAGCUCUGUUAAUCGGGACGAAAGAGUUCUGCGUGAAUAAUGCAGAAAAGUGACGGUACCGGAAUAGAAAGCCACGGCUAACUACGUGCCAGCCGCCGCCGUAA